UGGGGAAUAUUGCGCAAUGGGCGAAAGCCUGAUGCAGCAACGCCGCGUGAGUGAUGACGGUCUUCGGAUUGUAAAGCUCUGUCUUUGGGGACGAUAAUGACGGUACCCAAGGAGGAAGCCACGGCUAACUACGUGCCAGCAGCCGCGGUAAUACGUAGGUGGCAAGCGUUGUCCGGAUUUACUGGGCGUAAAGGGUGCGUAGGCGGACCUUUAAGUGAGAUGUGAAAUCCCCGAGCUUAACUUGGGGGCUGCAUUUCAAACUGGAGGUCUAGAGUGCAGGAGAGGAGAGUGGAAUUCCUAGUGUAGCGGUGAAAUGCGUAGAGAUUAGGAAGAACACCAGUGGCGAAGGCGACUCUCUGGACUGUAACUGACGCUGAGGCACGAAAGCGUGGGGAGCAAACA
Molecule: ribosomal RNA, 402 nt
Filed under: uncultured bacterium
Lineage: Bacteria
Description: bacterial SSU rRNA
Rfam family: Bacterial small subunit ribosomal RNA
Source: RNAcentral